Molecule: ribosomal RNA, 247 nt
Filed under: uncultured bacterium
Lineage: Bacteria
Description: partial 16S ribosomal RNA
Rfam family: Bacterial small subunit ribosomal RNA
Source: RNAcentral
UACGUAGGGUGCAAGCGUUGUCCGGAAUUAUUGGGCGUAAAGAGCUCGUAGGCGGCCAGGUAGGUCCGCUGUGAAAACUCGAGGCUCAACCUCGAGAUGUCGGCGGAAACCAUCUGGCUAGAGUCCGGAAGAGGAGAGUGGAAUUCCGGGUGUAGCGGUGGAAUGCGUAGAGAUCCGGAAGAACACCAGUGGCGAGGGCGGCCCGCUGGGCAGUGGCUGACGCUGAAGCGCGACAGCGUGGGGAGCA